This 263-nucleotide long non-coding RNA is filed under the name Brassica napus (rape). RNAcentral describes it as "long non-coding RNA (BNAP_LNC021151)". Lineage: Eukaryota; Viridiplantae; Streptophyta; Magnoliopsida; Brassicales; Brassicaceae. The record is from RNAcentral.
AUGUCAGCUUCGGUUUUUCCACACAUUCUCAGUAAGUGUGGAUGUGAGUAAUACAUGAUACACUGUGGUGUUUCCAUCUAAUACAUCCCGCAGUCAAUAAAUUUAGAUGGUGCUAGAGAGUAGUUAGAGUAGAAAUUAAAUUGUAUAUGAUCAUAAUCCCCUUCUUGACUUAAUAAAACAUACGUGAAAACAUUUAUUUAAUAAGACUCAAAAUAAACUUAAUAUCAGUAAACCUCUUUCAUACUUAAACAACACUAUCCCAU